Molecule: long non-coding RNA, 1895 nt
Organism: Ruditapes philippinarum (Manila clam)
Lineage: Eukaryota; Metazoa; Mollusca; Bivalvia; Venerida; Veneridae
Exons: 4
Source: RefSeq, a predicted model, not a curated record
ACAGCAUACUUAUUUAAUUCAAUUUACAUUUGGAAAAUUUGACAUUAUAAGAAAUUUGAUAUACAUAUAUACAUGUAAAUGGUAUUAUGUCAGUAACUGAAAUUGCGUAGAAUUACAAAAUUUUAUUUUAGAAAUGAAGAUUUUUUUUUCAAAAUUGAAAACUAUGUUUUAUGUUUAUGUAUAUUGACGAUAUUUUGUGUGCAUUGUUUAUAUCGAUUUUGGUUGUUUUGGUUUCUUUCUCAAAUUUUUGGAGUUGGUGUGUGAUUGGGGUUAUUCGAUUUGGGUUCGGUGUUUUAGUUUGUCUCUUUGUGGGAGUUGUUUAUGUGUGUUAUGGUAGUUUUUCUUUGUCUUUGUUGGAGUUGUUAAUGUCAUUUGUGUGUUAUGGUAGUUUUUCUUUGUCGAAAAUUCAGGCCUUAUUUCUGAAUAGUUUGGGAAUUGGUGGUCGAUAAGACAGUUGAUUCUUUGCUGAUACAUUGUGAUCGAUUUGAAAAUUUUGGAUUUUGUUAUACUAGUCGAAUUAUUAUUAUUCAUCAUUUCAAAUAGUUAUAUCAAUUUCAUUAGAAAUGGGAGACACAUUUAUAGUUAUAUUGAAUUUUUAGAUGUACAAUACCCAAUUUUGUAUAAUUAUAUUGAUGUUUAAUAUGAGUAAUGUGAUAUUUUUGAUAAUUAUAUAAAUAUAUAGGUGGAGAAUGCGAAAAAUAUAUUAAAGAUAACAUUGAUUCUUUUCGAUUUAGAACGUGACAUUUUUGGGUGUUGAAUGCGACAUUUUUAACAAUUAUAUAUACUGAUUAUUUUAGAUGCAGAAUGCGACAUUUUAGACUAGUAUAAUAUUAUUGUUCUUUGGUUUUUCGUUUGUUUUCAGAUGGCGUAAGAAAACAUCACUGGAUUACUUUUGAAAGACAAAACUAGAUAAAAUUGUAUAUUUCUAAAUAUUACCACUAUAUAUUUCAGACUAUUGUUCGAUUGAUGGUAAAAAAAUGUUUAUUGAUCAUUGAGCAGACGUAAAGCAGGAAAUGGCGGGAAGAAUCCUAGCAGACGACAGUUGUCGCGCAGAUGCAAUCAUGCACCAUAUCAGACUGCCCGAAAUUACAGGCUGGCCUAGCUCUAUACUGGACUCGCUUUCAGCAGGUUAGGGUUUUGAAAAAGGAAAUCAUAACUUUGUAAUGUAGCAGACGACAAUAAAUUUUAAAGUGGAAAUUUGCGACUUCCGGUGUGUCUGCUACUCGAUGUUGUGAUCUCAGUUACUUCCCCUGACGUUCAGUAUAUGAAAUGAGGGUCGAGGAUUUGAAAUUAGGAAAGAACGAAAGAUAUGAAAUGAGCACCGGCAAACUGAUCUUGGCAUGUUACAUCCUUAUCACAGAACUGGAACCUUCUGAUUAAGAUGAGAAAUACGGAACAUGGUAAAUUGAGCAGGUGAAGGAAUGAAUAAAACACCACCCUCUUUACAGUCAGCAAAAUAACUAUGCUUCCGGUUUGGAACUACUGCAUGCCGUUACAACAUAUGUGACAAAGAGAUUUUAAUCCACCUGAUACGAUUUGGUAUCUUUCUAUAAAUGUCAUGUUCAACUUCUGAAUGGUGUUUUUUUCUGCCAAGUUUAAGAAAUAUAUUACCAUGUAACUGUCUAAUAUUUAUGGCAAUUAUGAAGUAAUGAGUUUUUGGCGUAGUAAUCAAAACCAUAAAAGGUGUUAGCUCGAAAGGAUUUUCUACAUGAGCUUGAAAAAAUAACACCUUCAUAAAUGCCGUGAUGUGAACAGAAUAGAAGGGAUAUUUUAUUUGCUUUUUACAUUUUACAUCUUCUAUUUACCAACACACAGUACCGUCAAUGUAUUGUAAUGGCAAUAAUGAGUAUAAUUGCAAUAAUGAAUAAUGCACUUUUUUGCAAUGUAUAUUUCAA